Molecule: long non-coding RNA, 1221 nt
Organism: Engraulis encrasicolus (European anchovy)
Lineage: Eukaryota; Metazoa; Chordata; Actinopteri; Clupeiformes; Engraulidae
Exons: 4
Source: RefSeq, a predicted model, not a curated record
ACAGUGAAUAAAGAACUGAUGAGUCUGAAACGGGAAGUGGCAGAAGUGGCAAGAAAACAACACUGCUUUGUUUGUUUAGUUUUGUCGCCCACAAGAAAGCGUGUUAAAAGAAGACGAUUUUCAAGUUAAUUUAAUUAUUCUUGUUACCCAUUUUUCUACAUGAAGCAGUUUAGGGAAAAUCCGUUUGAUGCUGACGCGACUACAACAGUAGCUCUCACAUUAGUUGAAAGACUGGCCGCGGAACGCUAAAGCUAACAUUAGCUACUGUUUGUAAAGUGAACACUAACAAAUGUUUCAGAUAGUUGGCUGCUGACCUAGGUGGCUAAAUAAAGCUUUUUUAAAACCAUCGGAACAACUGACGCACCACCGACCAUCUGUAAGGAUGGUGUGUGAGCUGCUUCUCUCCUCAGUGUGGUUCCUGUUUGUCAUCUUCUGGAUGGAGACGAUAAGCGUGUGGCUCUUCCUUUGCUUCUUCUACCAGGACAGAGCCUUUUAUCACUGGGGAGAUGGGGUGUUUGCAGACGACCCAGGACAAAUGCUGUACAUGUUAACCAGGGUUGAUCAUUCUGGGGAGAUGCAGACAUAAGGUUGGACGGAUGGGAAGAAAAUAUCUCCUGUCAGGAAAGAAGAAUAGAGAGUGGGGCCUGUUCGUGUUUUUCUUUUAAAAUGCUUAUUCGGUUUUCCAAGUCCUUCUCCGUGGAGCAGCAUGAAGCCCUCUGCACUGGAGAUAAGCAGUUCUAGAGGAUGGGCCCUUCUGUUAGACUAAUGGGUGCGGUGGCCAUUCCCUGAAGGAGAGCAGAAAGGCUUCACAUAAAUACGGACUUUCCACACGGAGUUGGACACAAUGCUACACUACAUUAAACCAGCCUACACUCCCCGCCCUUUUCCUGUAUGGCACGAGGGUUACAUACACUCUAAUGAUAUAUAUACCUGUGUAUAUAGAUGUUGAAUUUGAAUGUGUAAACAAAGAGAAUGCUGUCUUUGCUCAGACUGACAUGGGGAGUCCUGAUGUCUAAAAUGGAAUUUAGUGUGACAAAACUCUCAGUCUCCGGCUGAGGUAAUUUUUCAGUGACUCUGUUUAUAAUUUGACUGGUGACUUAGUUAAAUUUUCAGAGAUUUUCUUCCUUUUUUACCUUGUAGAGAUUAAUUUGUAUAUCACUCACAGUGAAGGCUGUUUUGUUGUUAAGCAAUAAAGUUGAUAUUUACUUGGUUCAUAUUCAA